This 433-nucleotide ribosomal RNA is filed under the name uncultured bacterium. RNAcentral describes it as "partial 16S ribosomal RNA". It matches the Rfam family "Bacterial small subunit ribosomal RNA", at positions 29 to 507 of the family's 1533-position model. The record is from RNAcentral.
AGCGAACGCUGGCGGCAGGCCUAACACAUGCAAGUCGAACGAACUCUUCGGAGUUAGUGGCGGACGGGUGAGUAACACGUGGGAACGUGCCUUUUGGUUCGGAAUAACUCAGGGAAACUUGUGCUAAUACCGAAUGUGCCCUUCGGGGGAAAGAUUUAUCGCCAUUAGAGCGGCCCGCGUCUGAUUAGCUAGUUGGUGGGGUAACGGCUCACCAAGGCGACGAUCAGUAGCUGGUCUGAGAGGAUGACCAGCCACACUGGGACUGAGACACGGCCCAGACUCCUACGGGAGGCAGCAGUGGGGAAUCUUGCGCAAUGGGCGAAAGCCUGACGCAGCCAUGCCGCGUAAAUGAUGAAGGUCUUAGGAUUGUAAAAUUCUUUCACCGGGGACGAUAAUGACGGUACCCGGAGAAGAAGCCCCGGCUAACUUCGUG